Molecule: ribosomal RNA, 834 nt
Filed under: uncultured archaeon
Lineage: Archaea
Description: bacterial SSU rRNA
Rfam family: Archaeal small subunit ribosomal RNA
Source: RNAcentral
GGAGAUCACUGCUAUUGGAAUCCGGCUAAGGCAUGCGAGUCGAGAGGGUUCGGCCCUCGGCGGACGGCUCAGUAACACGUGGAUAAUCUGCCCUUAGGUGGGGGAUAAUCUCGAGAAAUUGAGCAUAAUACCCCAUAGUUCUAGAUUGCUGGAAUGCGUUUAAAAUGAAAGCUCCGGCGCCUAAGGAUGAGUCUGCGGCCUAUCAGGUAGUAGUGAGUGUAACGGACUCACUAGCCGACGACGGGUACGGGUCCUGGAAGGGAGUGCCCGGAGAUGGACUCUGAGACACGAGUCCAGGCCCUACGGGGCGCAGCAGCUACGAAAACUUCACAAUGCGGGAAACCGCGAUGAGGGGAUUCCAAGUGCUAAUACUUUGUAUUAGCUGUUUACUUGCCUAAAAAGCAGGUAGAGUAAGGGCUGGGUAAGACUGGUGCCAGCCGCCGCGGUAAUACCAGCAGCUCAAGUGGUGAUCGUUUUUAUUGGGCCUAAAGCGUCCGUAGCCGGUUUGGUAAACCCUUGGGUAAAUCGGGCAGCUUAACUGUCCGACUUCUGAGGAGACUGCCAGACUUGGGACCGGGAGAGGUCAGAGGUACUUCUGGGGUAGGGGUGAAAUCCUGUAAUCCUAGAAGGACCACCAGUGGCGAAGGCGUCUGACUAGAACGGGUCCGACGGUAAGGGACGAAGCCCUGGGUCACGAACCGGAUUAGAUACCCGGGUAGUCCAGGGUGUAAACGCUGCGGGCUUGGUGUUGGGGGUCCUACGAGGGCGUCCAGUGCCGGAGAGAAGUUGUUAAGCCCGCCGCCUGGGGAGUACGGCCGCAAGGUUGAAACUUAA